This 478-nucleotide ribosomal RNA is filed under the name uncultured bacterium. RNAcentral's name for it is "partial 16S ribosomal RNA". It matches the Rfam family "Bacterial small subunit ribosomal RNA", at positions 28 to 523 of the family's 1533-position model. The record is from RNAcentral.
GACGAACGCUGGCGGCGUGCUUAACACAUGCAAGUCGAACGGUAGGGCCCUUCGGGGUACACGAGUGGCGAACGGGUGAGUAACACGUGGGUGAUCUGCCCUGCACUUCGGGAUAAGCCUGGGAAACUGGGUCUAAUACCGGAUAGGACUCCGGACUGCAUGGUCUGGGGUGGAAAGCUUUUGCGGUGUGGGAUGGGCCCGCGGCCUAUCAGCUUGUUGGUGGGGUGAUGGCCUACCAAGGCGACGACGGGUAGCCGGCCUGAGAGGGUGACCGGCCACACUGGGACUGAGAUACGGCCCAGACUCCUACGGGAGGCAGCAGUGGGGAAUAUUGCACAAUGGGCGCAAGCCUGAUGCAGCGACGCCGCGUGAGGGAUGACGGCCUUCGGGUCGUAAACCUCUUUCAGCAUCGACGAAGCGAAAGUGACGGUAGGUGCAGAAGAAGGACCGGCCAACUACGUGCCAGCCGCCGCGGUAA